GGGGAAACAGCUCAGUGGUUAAGAGCAUGCUUUCUAGAGGACCUGGGUUCAAUUCCCAGUAUCCACA
RNAcentral lists this transfer RNA (67 nucleotides) under Mus musculus (house mouse). It matches the Rfam family "tRNA". Rfam says of the family: Transfer RNA (tRNA) molecules are approximately 80 nucleotides in length. Their secondary structure includes four short double-helical elements and three loops (D, anti-codon, and T loops). The record is from Rfam by way of RNAcentral. Lineage: Eukaryota; Metazoa; Chordata; Mammalia; Rodentia; Muridae.